GGUUAAGCCUAUGAUUGUAGCUUUUUUUUUACUGCUGAAUAUAUAUGAUAUUAGAUUUCACUAUUGCAAAUAUGCAGUUAUUGAUCUCUAAUCGACAUAAGCAAUAGUAGCAUUACCAUAUUCUCUACACAUUCUCCCUAUGCAAAGGUGUAGUGAUGGGAUUCUCCAUGACCUGUGUAGUUUGCUUGGGAGGCACUGAAAAAAAAGCUACAAUCAUAGGCUUAACCUUCUCUGUAGUCUUGAUAAUACCCAAGAAUAGAAGCCUGUAAAGAAUAACCAUUCAUUCCUAAUAAAACGGCAAGAUCAACCCACUUAGAGUAACUCAAAUCCACUUGCCAUAUAUUCCUCAAAAUUUCUUCACCACCAAUGGUUGGUGAACCUUCCAGGCGUCCAGCUUGAUUAUUAGUAGCAAAGGUUAGACCUUCAAAUUCAUUUUUGAACAUGCCCUGGUAAGCAUACCUAUGGAAAGAAAUAUAGUACAUUGGGUAUUUCCAAAUUGGCCCCGGAAGGUCAUUUGGCAACCUGAAGAAUCCUCCACCUAAAAUCAUGAGUCCUUGAAUCCCAGAUCCAGUUAUAAUACCCAUCAGAAAAUUAGGUACAAUGCUUGCAACAGUCAUCAUCAAGCUCUCAACUAGCAUCAAACAAGCGAAUAAUGCGAUAAUAAAAAAUAGGAAGUGUUCAAAUCCCUUGUGAAGCCCUGGAAAGUAG
RNAcentral lists this unclassified non-coding RNA (708 nucleotides) under Hevea brasiliensis (rubber tree). The record is from RNAcentral. Lineage: Eukaryota; Viridiplantae; Streptophyta; Magnoliopsida; Malpighiales; Euphorbiaceae.